ACUUCGGGUAAUCAGCCUUUCGGGUGCGAUUCUGUGGAGUGUGAGGAGCUUAAACACCUUCAUGUUUUGCAUAUUCGUACUCUUGGGUGUACUUGCCCGUGUGGUUGGUUAACAUCAAUUUUGGUGGUCAUAAAAUGACUGGGGGAAUGUAGCUUCGAUCUUGUAUUGAAGUGUUAUAGCCUUCGGUAGAUGUGAUGAUCGAGAUUGAGGAUUGCAACGGAUACCCUUCGGGGCUACCUGUCUGGUCUCUGAUCGUUGCUCUGGUGCCGAAAGCUUGCUUACGGUUAUCAAAGUCGAUGGUCAAUAGGUUAGAACGGGUUAAAUUCGUUAAGGAUGUUGACGUAAUGGCUUUAAACGACCCGUCUUGAAACACGGACCAAGA
Molecule: ribosomal RNA, 382 nt
Filed under: Rhizophagus fasciculatus
Lineage: Eukaryota; Fungi; Glomeromycota; Glomeromycetes; Glomerales; Glomeraceae
Description: partial large subunit ribosomal RNA
Source: RNAcentral